Long non-coding RNA from Salarias fasciatus (jewelled blenny), 98 nucleotides. RefSeq lists it as uncharacterized. The record is from RefSeq and is a predicted model, not a curated record. NCBI's taxonomy places the organism in Eukaryota, Metazoa, Chordata, Actinopteri, Blenniiformes, Blenniidae. The transcript has 3 exons.
UACAUGGUUUUAUUAACAAGAAACACUCCAUUAACUUCCAUAGUUAUGCAGAUGCUACAGAAUUCUAUUUAUGUAUGAAACCAGAUGAUACUAAUCAA